This 153-nucleotide ribosomal RNA is filed under the name Triticum aestivum (bread wheat). RNAcentral describes it as "partial small subunit ribosomal RNA". The record is from RNAcentral. Lineage: Eukaryota; Viridiplantae; Streptophyta; Magnoliopsida; Poales; Poaceae.
UGCUAUCGAUGGAUCACAUUAUCUCGUGGAUUGGAUUUCACCUGACUGUCUAUGGCUCCCUUGCAUGUGCUUGGGAUAGGCGUUUUGUAUAAAUGUUUCAUUGUAUUAUUACGUAUUCUCCUUUAUUUUUUUAUAUGUAUAGAAGUGGAAUAG